RNAcentral lists this long non-coding RNA (202 nucleotides) under Carica papaya (papaya). RNAcentral describes it as "long non-coding RNA (CPAP_LNC000652)". The record is from RNAcentral. Lineage: Eukaryota; Viridiplantae; Streptophyta; Magnoliopsida; Brassicales; Caricaceae.
UCUUCUUCAUUGUCAAUCCUUCACAUGGUUUUGUGCAUCACAAUUUGCUUCCAGAACUUCUGGUUGGGCUUCUGCCGUAUCUCUUUGCUAUUUCAACAUUGCUCACAUCAAUUGCUCCAUUGAGAGACUUUUAAAUAAUAUAGUAAUAAAGUAACUUAGUUAGAAACUUCUAAAUAAUAUAGUAAUAAAGUAAUGACAAAAU